This 393-nucleotide transfer-messenger RNA is filed under the name Legionellaceae bacterium. It matches the Rfam family "transfer-messenger RNA". Rfam says of the family: Bacterial tmRNA, also known as 10Sa RNA or SsrA, is named for its dual tRNA and mRNA-like properties. The record is from RNAcentral. Lineage: Bacteria; Pseudomonadati; Pseudomonadota; Gammaproteobacteria; Legionellales; Legionellaceae.
GGGGGCGACCUGGCUUCGACGUGGGUUGCGAAACCUGAAGUGCAUGCCGAGAUUGAGACCUCUCGUAAAUCAGACUCAUUAAACACAAAUGCAAAUGAUGAAAACUUUGCUGGUGAAGCUAUCGCUGCUUAAUCGCGUUAGAUAAACCACACCGUGCGCUGCCAUAAACCAGCGCCCCGUUGCCCACGCCUGCUUAUAGGUAGUGGAAUCAACGGUCAUAGAAGAUAAGCUAGUGAUUUGAUUGUCCCGCAUCAAAUUGCGAAACUCAGGGAACCGUUGUGCACCAUCCUGCCAGUCGGAGGGUUCACAAUUAAAUUAAAUGACCCGGCUAUGCAUGUAGACCUGAUGGCAGAGGAUUUGCGGACGCGGGUUCGAUUCCCGCCGCCUCCACCA